Molecule: long non-coding RNA, 965 nt
Organism: Bos taurus (domestic cattle)
Lineage: Eukaryota; Metazoa; Chordata; Mammalia; Artiodactyla; Bovidae
Source: Ensembl
UGAGGUGGAAGGAGAAGUGGGCGACAGGAUGAGAUGGUUGGAUGGCAUCACCAACUCAGUGGACUUGACUUUGAGCAAACUCUGGAAGAUAGUGAAGGGCAGGGAAGCCUGGCGUGCUGCAGUCCAUGGGGUCAAAAAGAGUCAGACACAACUUAGUGACUGAAUGACAACAACAACAUAAAGAGAGCCAGUGAAAUUGGAUCCGUGUGCAGAGUUUGGAAAGAGAAGAGCCUCUCACUUCUUCUCCACCUCUCUUCAACAGAAGUUAGUGGACAAAGGACCUCCCUUCCUCUGGAUGACAUCCUGUUAAGACGUGAGAUGAGGAAACCGGGAUGAGAUUCCAUUUUGCCCAAAGACAUCCAGCCAGAAAUUAGAGGAGCUGGAGCUUGGACCCAGGUCUGACUCCAGGAAAAAUUCUCCCCUGGAGGGGUGGCUCAGAAACCAUUCUAAACACAGCAAGUAAAACAACCUGCCAUUAUUCUCUGCAACAACCCACGAAGCUGGCAUAGCAGCGUUCACCCCAGAGAUGAGGAAACUGAGACACAAAGCGGUUGGGUAAUUUCUCAGCUGGGGCCCUGGAGGAGCUCCUGGAGAAGGAGGAAGAGGAAAUCAAGAUGAGAAGUCUCUGACUUUGCCUGGGGCAAUGGAGAAAGAGGAUGACGGUUGUCUCCACGCUUUUCCCAUUUCCUGAGCACCUAAUACACGCCAGCCUCCCUGCCGCAUGCAUGCCUGCUUCCAGGGGAAGAUAUCCAGGGAGGCUGAUGCUUUAAGCCCCUCCCUUGUGCAGACCCCUCUAAUGGUCCUGGGUAACAGGUGCCAUCAAUUCAUUACACAAGACGCUUUGAAGUGCCCUGAGCACCUCUAUAAGAGACACAUGAUAUUUUCCACAUUUGACAACAACCCCGAAGAAGUGCCUAACAUUACAAAUAAUGAAUUGUAAGGCUGAAUCAAAGACUGAUUUAUCU